GCAAGUCGAACGGAAACGAUGGAAGCUUGCUUUUCUAGGCGUCGAGUGGCGGACGGGUGAGUAAUACCUAGGAAUCUACCCUAUAGUUGGGGACAACAUGUGGAAACGCAUGCUAAUACCGAAUAUGCUCUACGGAGUAAAGGAGCCCUCUUCUUGAAAGGUUUCGCUAUAGGAUGAGCCUAGGCAAGAUUAGCUAGUUGGUAAGGUAAUGGCUUACCAAGGCGACGAUCUUUAGCUGGUUUGAGAGGAUGAUC
This 254-nucleotide ribosomal RNA is filed under the name uncultured bacterium. Its description in RNAcentral is "partial 16S ribosomal RNA". It matches the Rfam family "Bacterial small subunit ribosomal RNA", at positions 57 to 305 of the family's 1533-position model. The record is from RNAcentral.